CCUUCAUGUAUGAAGUUUUGUCUGCUUCUCUGAUUGUUUCCUUAGUAUUGAUUCUUUUGGAAAUUAAGGCGUUCAGUUAAAACGUGGCAAAUCCCAGUACCGGGGAAGCUGAGGUGGGAGGAUUAUGAGUUUGAGACAGCCUGGGCCGAGAUAUAAUAAGAAAUAUAAUGAAUAUUUAAGUUAAAUAUUUUCUUUCCAUAGAAGACAUAUUUCCAAGACCCCCCCCCCGCACUCCUCCUCAAACACCUUUAUUCCAUCAUUCUUGCUGCCUUCUGAAGCAGCUCUCACGGUCCUCUUUCACGAGUGUCUUCCGUCGCACGGUUGCGGCUGCCUCAGCAUUCUGAAUUGAUUCAAAACGUCUUCCUUUCGUGAUCAUUUGACUUUGGGGACGAGCCAGAAGUUGCAUGGUGCCAGAUGCAGUUAGUAGGGUGGAUGAAGACACGCCGUGUAUUUUUAUUUGACACAAAUUGCUGUACCAGAAGCGAUAUUGUGGCACAGAGUGCUGUUGCGAUGGAGGACAUUUCUCACGCUUUGACUGUUCUCCUGCAGCUUCCCGUACUGAGGAUUCCUGCCUUUCCGAUGGAGAGCACACAGCAGUAGCAGUCAUCAUAUUGUUUGGUCACCGCCCCCCAUAUAGCAAGUUCAAGGCUGGCCUGGACUGCACAGCAAGACCCCGUCUCCAAAGACAAACAAAACAAAGACAAUUAGAAGGGGUGCUUCACAACACAAAUAUGCAGAUGGGAGGAAAAUCUGUGCAGCGUUAUGGCUCAUUCCUCAAGGCACAGCAAAACCUCGCUACCCAUCAAACGGCCCCAGACAGAAGUAGCAGAGAGCAGUAUGCUCUGACCAUCACGAGGUCUGGUGAGUCUGACUAGGAGAAUGAUC
RNAcentral lists this long non-coding RNA (885 nucleotides) under Fukomys damarensis (Damara mole-rat). Its description in RNAcentral is "lncRNA (ENSFDAG00000027522.1)". The record is from RNAcentral. Lineage: Eukaryota; Metazoa; Chordata; Mammalia; Rodentia; Bathyergidae.